This 537-nucleotide long non-coding RNA is filed under the name Bos grunniens (domestic yak). RNAcentral's name for it is "lncRNA (ENSBGRG00000025150.1)". The record is from RNAcentral. Lineage: Eukaryota; Metazoa; Chordata; Mammalia; Artiodactyla; Bovidae.
GCAAAGACCUACUUAAGCCAGCCUCUAGCUUUGCUCUGCCCCCAUCCCAUCUCAUCCUUCGUCAAAGGGGCGUGGCAUUUAAACAAAUGCACUCAGCUGGGAGGGUAUCCCAACCCUGAGGCCCGCGUCACCAGCGCGGGCGGGCGGCUGCGGAGUCUCCCAGAAAAGCUGGUAUCUCCCAGAGUGGUCUGGUUCGGGCUCCCCAGCCCCGGAGGGGCGGCUAAGAAGAAGGCGCUCACUGGUUGCUAUAGCGGCGAUCUAAGAGGCUGGGGAAAGUUGAUUGGCCGCAGGUUCGUAGCGCGGACCACGCCCACCCCUUCCGGCGGCUGCAAUCAGGUCACUGCAUAAAUGAAAAAUAUUAAUUAGGACAUUUAUAUUUUUAAGUGUCUGUAAUCCUCAUGUUGGAUCAUCAAAAAAGUGAGACAGUUCCAGAAAAAUAUCUACUUCUGCUUUAUUGACUAUGCCAAAGACUGACUGUGUGGAUCACAAGAAACUGUGUAAAAUUCUUAAAGAAAUGGAAAUACCAGACCACCUGAC